Chelonia mydas (Green sea turtle) is the source of this 223-nucleotide long non-coding RNA. RefSeq lists it as uncharacterized. The record is from RefSeq and is a predicted model, not a curated record. The transcript has 3 exons. Lineage: Eukaryota; Metazoa; Chordata; Testudines; Cheloniidae.
UCAUAAAUAUAAAGGGAAGGGUAACCACCUUUCUGUAUACAGAACUAUAAAAUCCCUCCUGGCCAGAGGCAAAACCCUUUCAUCUGUAAAGGGUUAAGAAGCUAAUAUAACCUCAAGGGCACUUGACCAAAAUAAUCAAUGAGGAGGCAAAAUACUUUCAAAGCUGGAUGGGGGGUGGGGGACGGGUCAAAGGGUCUGUCUGUCUGUGUGUUUUGUUUUGCUG